CCAGCGGGGGAUUCGGUAUAGCAGCUCAGGUUCGUUUGCGCUGCGCGUUCCCGCUGGACUGGACACAUGUUAGCUGUAGGAAGUAUGGUUCCGAAAGUGACUUCGGUUCGCCAGUUCAGGCUCAACUCCUCGCUUUACGUUAGCGGACCUACAGGUCGGGCCGGGGCUCUGCGCUCUUUCUUUCUGUGUGGGACGAUACCGGGGAGAGAAGGGAAUGACAGGUACCACGAGCCCUCUGUCCCACACAUCUAUCCAGAAGCAAGUGUAGUUCACCGG
Molecule: long non-coding RNA, 276 nt
Filed under: Nicotiana benthamiana
Lineage: Eukaryota; Viridiplantae; Streptophyta; Magnoliopsida; Solanales; Solanaceae
Description: long non-coding RNA (NBEN_LNC028738)
Source: RNAcentral